This is a long non-coding RNA of Monopterus albus (swamp eel), 151 nucleotides long. RefSeq lists it as uncharacterized. Lineage: Eukaryota; Metazoa; Chordata; Actinopteri; Synbranchiformes; Synbranchidae. The transcript has 3 exons. The record is from RefSeq and is a predicted model, not a curated record.
ACCUGCUACAGUCUUCAGAAAACAAAUGUUGUCACAGUGUCAAGCCCCAUCCUCAUGAAUAGACAGUCAACUAACAGAUUUGCAGGCAACUACACCCUGACCACUGAAUGUGCAGAGCAACUCACACCAUCACCAUUGCAUUCUUUUUUUU